AGUGGGAUAACUGGGUCAAGCAGUGAUUCCAUUCCAAGUUUUUUGAGGAAUUUCCAAACUGCUUUCCAGAGUGGUUGCACCAAUUUGCAGUCCCACCAGCAAC
RNAcentral lists this microRNA precursor (103 nucleotides) under Marmota monax (woodchuck). The record is from RNAcentral. Lineage: Eukaryota; Metazoa; Chordata; Mammalia; Rodentia; Sciuridae.